This is an RNA transcript of Hylaeus volcanicus, 1230 nucleotides long. RefSeq lists it as uncharacterized. The transcript is spliced from 7 exons. The record is from RefSeq and is a predicted model, not a curated record. NCBI's taxonomy places the organism in Eukaryota, Metazoa, Arthropoda, Insecta, Hymenoptera, Colletidae.
AAAAAAAAAAGUCAUCAAGUAAAUAACUUGUCGACAUUAUAGACCGGAUAGUGAAAAAGCACACCAAACUGGUCACCUGUGUCCUCAGUUGUUUUUAGUUUUAAAAGAGAGUGUUUAAAAUAAGCGUCUAUGAAAUGAAAAAAGAAAGUGUUGGAUGCAUAGCCAUGAAGAAUAGUAGUCAUUAUAAUAUGGCGUCAUCCCGCAAUUCUUACGUCACUCUCAUAACAACUGUUGGUAAUAUAACAAUAGAACUUUAUUGGGACCACGCACCAAAAACAUGUAACAAUUUUUUUACACUAUGCAAAGAGGGAUAUUAUGAUGGAUGUUUGUUUCAUCGCAUUGUUCGUAAUUUUGUUAUACAAACAGGUGAUCCUAGCGGAACGGGAAAAGGAGGUGCUUCGAUUUAUGGUCUGACCUUUGAAGAUGAAAUCCAUCCUGAUUUACAUCACGUUGGAGCUGGAGUUGUGUCUAUGGCCAACAGUGGCCCCAAUACAAACGGAUCACAAUUCUUUGUUACAUUAGCACCAUGUCCUCAUUUGGAUGGAUUGCAUACUAUUUUUGGUCGAGUUAGCUCUGGAAUGAAAGUCGUUCAAAAAUUAGCAAUCGUUGAAGUGAACUCACUCGAUCGUCCUGUUUUUGAUAUUAAAAUUUUGAGAGUCGACACAGCAACCGAUGCUUCUGAGUUGCUCCCUGGCUCAACAUAUGUUUGACUAGCCAUAUACCCUCCUUUACUGUUAAACUUUUACUAACCGCAGCAAACGAAAACAGGCACAAACGUUGAAAGGAAGCGUACAUGGAAGGAAAAAUAGUAAUGCAUAAUAGUUUUGAACGCUAGGUUAUACCCACUAGCACGGUGAAUUAUGUCAAAAAAAAAUUUCGCACUCUUAAAAAGCCCGUGCAAAUUCUUCAUUUUACUACUAAUGAAAGAAAAAAUUUGUAGCAACAAUUUGUUUCAUCAAUGUUACAGGUGUAUAAAUAUUUUUUUAUAAAUCAAAUCAAGCUUAGUAGAGUGAACUGAUAGGUAGCGAUAAGACACAAAUAAAGACAUUCUCAUUUUACUUUACACAGCAAAGCAACGUCAAUCUUAUAAGUGGCAACAUGGUUUGUGCUUUUUAAAAGGUUAUUGUCUUUGCUGAUGGCUACUCAAAAGUAGUGAAAAUCAUUUUGGACAUUUAACCAAAAUUUGACCUAAAAAGAAAGAACAAAUGUUUUCAAGUACAUUGCAAAAAU